Molecule: ribosomal RNA, 464 nt
Filed under: uncultured bacterium
Lineage: Bacteria
Description: partial 16S ribosomal RNA
Rfam family: Bacterial small subunit ribosomal RNA
Source: RNAcentral
CUACGGGCUGCUCCAGUGAGGAAUUUUGCGCAAUGGGGGAAACCCUGACGCAGCAACGCCGCGUGAGUGAUGAAGACCUUCGGGUCGUAAAGCUCUGUCAAGUGGGAAAAAAUACUUCCGGUCGAUACCCGGAAGGACUGAUGGUACCACUGGAGGAAGCACCGGCUAACUCCGUGCCAGCAGCCGCGGUAAUACGGAGGGUGCAAGCGUUGUUCGGAUUUACUGGGCGUAAAGAGCGUGUAGGCGGUUUGGCAAGUCAGAUGUGAAAGCCCUGGGCUUAACUCAGGAAGUGCAUUUGAAACUGCCAAACUAGAGUAUGGGAGAGGAGAGUGGAAUUCCCAGUGUAGAGGUGAAAUUCGUAGAUAUUGGGAGGAACACCGGUGGCGAAGGCGACUCUCUGGACCAAUACUGACGCUGAGACGCGAAAGCGUGGGGAGCAAACAGGAUUAGAUACCCCCGUACUC